GGGCCAUAGCUCAGUGGUAGAACAUCUGCUUUCAGUGCAGAAGGUCCCAGGUUCGGUCCUCAGCAUCUCCA
Molecule: non-coding RNA, 71 nt
Organism: Podarcis lilfordi (Lilford's wall lizard)
Lineage: Eukaryota; Metazoa; Chordata; Lepidosauria; Squamata; Lacertidae
Source: the annotation of a GenBank genome assembly